Molecule: long non-coding RNA, 203 nt
Filed under: Lathyrus oleraceus (garden pea)
Lineage: Eukaryota; Viridiplantae; Streptophyta; Magnoliopsida; Fabales; Fabaceae
Description: Pisum sativum (pea) long non-coding RNA (PSAT_LNC034419)
Source: RNAcentral
UUGGAGAAAAAAAUUCAGAAUUUUUGGAAACUUAAAAGUAUUUUUAAACAAUUAAAAAUAAUCACAAAAUCAAUUAAAUCAUAAAAUAUAUUAAUAAUGGUCCAAAAAAUAAUUUUAAAAUUAAUAUCAAUUAAUGAAAAUCAAAGGAAUAAAAUGAAAAUCAGAAAAUACAAAAAAAAACGUGGACCACUUGAUCUCCCUCA